Molecule: ribosomal RNA, 459 nt
Filed under: uncultured bacterium
Lineage: Bacteria
Description: partial 16S ribosomal RNA
Rfam family: Bacterial small subunit ribosomal RNA
Source: RNAcentral
GAUGAACGCUGGCGGCGCGCCUAACACAUGCAAGUCGAACGGCACCCCUCCUCGGAGGGAAGCGAGUGGCGAACGGCUGAGUAACACGUGGAGAACCUGCCCCCUCCCCCGGGAUAGCCGCCCGAAAGGACGGGUAAUACCGGAUACCCCGGGGUGCCGCAUGGCACCCCGGCUAAAGCCCCGACGGGAGGGGAUGGCUCCGCGGCCCAUCAGGUAGACGGCGGGGUGACGGCCCACCGUGCCGACAACGGGUAGCCGGGUUGAGAGACCGACCGGCCAGAUUGGGACUGAGACACGGCCCAGACUCCUACGGGAGACAGCAGUGGGGAAUCUUGCGCAAUGGGGGGAACCCUGACGCAGCGACGCCGCGUGCGGGACGGAGGCCUUCGGGUCGUAAACCGCUUUCAGCUGGGAAGAGUCAAGACUGUACCUGCAGAAGAAGCCCCGGCUAACUACGUG